UUGCUUUUUAGAUCAGUUUAAUUCAGGAUUGUGUUAAUACAUGCUCACAUCUGCUUGAAGAUUCAUGCAAUCGAACUUCUGGAAAGCAUGUGUUUGAAUGAUUCAGUUCUUGUAUCUGAAGUUGAAUACAGCUCAGGGAAUGCAUCAUUCUUCUUCAUAUGAACAGCAGAAUAUGAUGGAAAGUGACUCCAGCACUGAAGCUCUACACGACUUUAUGGGGAGAAUCUGCCCUAAUCACUCACUGAUUAAUGGUUUCCCGGCAGCUAGAAGGUCUUGGAUCAUCUCACAGCAGAGGAGUUGACAGGACUGAUGCUCAUCUGACAGAUAUCAGACUCGAGAGGAUCCUCACGAUUACACACACACACACACACACACACACACAUCUGACAGGUAAGACCUUCCAAUCUGUGUCUUUUAAACCUUAUUUAUUUAUAAUGAAUGAGCAGCAAUGUACUGAAGUACAGAAAUGAUCUGCAUAUCGUAUAUAUCUUUUUAAAUCUUUGCAUUAUGUAGAAAUUACUCGUCUAACUCUCGGCUCAUAAUUGACGUUCACUGCAGUGUAAUAUUCACAUGUGGGCUGUCUGGGAUGUUUCUGUACAGUAGCUGAUCGGGGUGUGGCCCUGUAUGGCCUAUAAACUCAACAGUUAUUUUACUACAGCAUUGCUGAGGUUUUCAAAAACAGCAGUGCAUGUAAUGUAGUGUGACUGCUGGUAACUUCUAUGCUGUUUAUUACAUUAAUUUUAACAUUGUUUAUAGUCUUCUGUUUGGUAUGUUUUAGUGAUGUUUGACAAGAAAAGCAUUGCUGUUAUUAAUGUCGGUUUUAAAUAUUACACUAAACAUUUGUGGUCUUGUUGAGGAGAGUUUGUGCUGUUACUUUAGUAACUGAUCAGAUGCAGCUGCUGGACCAGAAAACAGGUGAAAAAAUCACCCAGAUGCACAAUGGAGGAGGAACUGGACAACAUCUAAAAACUAGAUGAUGACAGAGCGAGGGUGCGGGACUCUCUUUGUGACAGACAGGAAGAAAAUACAGAAACCACCCAAAACAUCCUAGCAACUGUAUAGCAACCAGCCAGAGUACCUUAACAACUGCCUAGCAAUCUUAACAUCAGCAAAUUUUUGGUGCGUGCACCAAAGACAUUUUUUUUUUAAAUAAAAUACAGCAACAAUACA
This is a long non-coding RNA of Cyprinus carpio (common carp), 1170 nucleotides long. Lineage: Eukaryota; Metazoa; Chordata; Actinopteri; Cypriniformes; Cyprinidae. The record is from Ensembl.